AACGAACGCUGGCGGCAGGCCUAACACAUGCAAGUCGAACGCCCCGCAAGGGGAGUGGCAGACGGGUGAGUAACGCGUGGGAACGUGCCCUUCGGUUCGGAAUAACUCAGGGAAACUUGAGCUAAUACCGGAUACGCCCGUAAGGAGAAAGAUUUAUCGCCGAAGGAUCGGCCCGCGUCGGAUUAGCUAGUUGGUGAGGUAACGGCCCACAAGGCGACGAUCCGUAGCUGGGUCUGAGAGGAUGANCAG
Molecule: ribosomal RNA, 249 nt
Filed under: uncultured bacterium
Lineage: Bacteria
Description: partial 16S ribosomal RNA
Rfam family: Bacterial small subunit ribosomal RNA
Source: RNAcentral